Molecule: ribosomal RNA, 253 nt
Filed under: uncultured bacterium
Lineage: Bacteria
Description: partial 16S ribosomal RNA
Rfam family: Bacterial small subunit ribosomal RNA
Source: RNAcentral
UACGGAGGAUGCAAGCGUUAUCCGGAAUGAUUGGGCGUAAAGCGUCCGCAGGUGGCAAUGUAAGUCUGCUGUCAAAGCGUCUGGCUCAACCAGAUACAGGCAGUGGAAACUACAUAGCUAGAGUAAGGUAGGGGUAGAGGGAAUUCCUGGUGUAGCGGUGAAAUGCGUAGAGAUCAGGAAGAACACCAGUGGCGAAGGCGCUCUGCUAGGCCGUAACUGACACUGAGGGACGAAAGCUAGGGGAGCGAAUGGG